CACACACACACACACACACACACACACACACACAGCUUAACCUUUUCGACAUUCACUGAUCAUCAAUAUUCGUUUUCCAUCAAUUAACAGCUACGAACGGAUUAGACAAACAAUAACACUAAAAACAAACACUAAAAACAUUCAUACAUAUAUACAAAAAAAAAAACAGUCUGAUUGUGUGUGUGUGUGUGUGUGUGUGUCCAUGGGUAGUGUUAUGAGCCUGGUGAUAGUUUGACAAGGCUUUGGUGGAGGUUGUGUUAGUAUGUCCAUGGGUAGUGUUAUGAGCCUGGUGAUAGUUUGACAAGGCUUUGGUGGAGGUUGUGUUAGUGUGUCCAUGGGUAGUGUUAUGAGCCUGGUGAUAGUUUGACAAGGCUUUGGUGGAGGUUGUGUUAGUAUGUCCAUGGGUAGUGUUAUGAGCCUGGUGAUAGUUUAACAAGGCUUUGGUGGAGGUUGUGUUAGUAUGUCCAUGGGUAGUGUUAUGAGCCUGGUGAUAGUUUGACAAGGCUUUGGUGGAGGUUGUGUUAGUAUGUCCAUGGGUAGUGUUAUGAGCCUGGUGAUAGUUUGACAAGGCUUUGGUGGAGGUUGUGUUAGUAUGUCCAUGGGUAGUGUUAUGAGCCUGGUGAUAGUUUGACAAGGCUUUGGUGGAGGUUGUGUUAGUGUGUCCAUGGGUAGUGUUAUGAGCCUGGUGAUAGUUUAACCCUUCUUCUGCACCAUGAACGUGAAAUAUUGUUGAGAGCCAAAGCGUCUGAGAAUUUGGGACAUAGUUAGUGCCAUAGUGGGGUGGCUGAACGGUGUAGUAGGCCGUACGGGGCUCGAACCAAGGUGCCAUUGCCAGUAAAGAGUGCCACUGUUCUCUAGCGGGUCAGAGGACGUGUCUCUUACGUGUCUCGCAUAGAUUUUCAAUACCGCAGAGAGAGAGAGAGAGAGAGAGAGAGAGAGAGAGAUUUUUAAAUAUUUUCAAUAAGUCAAUGUGUGUUUGCCUUUCUCCAUUCUGCGCCCGCCCACACACACACACACACACACACACACACACACACACACACACACACGCACACACACUAACAAGACAGGGAUAGGUGACAGCAAGUGGACAAAUCUACUCUCUCUCUCUCUCUCUCUCUCUCUCUCUCUCUCUCUCUCUCUCUCUCUCUCUCUCUCUCUCUCUCUCUCUCUCUCUCUCUCUCUCUCUCUCUCUCUCUCUCUCUCUCUCUCUCUCUCUCUCUCUCUCUCUCUCUCUCUCUCUCUCUCACACACACACAUCAUUAUUUUUUGAAACUAUAAAUUGUCAGAUACGAAUCGAAUUUAUUAAGAAGAAGAGGAAGAGGAGGAGGAGGAGGAGGAAAAAUAGAAAUAACAAUGACAGAGGAGGCAUGAGAGGAAGAGGAAGAAGGAGGAGGAGGAAGAAGAAGAAGAAGAGGAGGAGGAGGAAGAAGAAGAAGAAGAAGAGGAGGA
Eriocheir sinensis (Chinese mitten crab) is the source of this 1452-nucleotide long non-coding RNA. RefSeq lists it as uncharacterized. The record is from RefSeq and is a predicted model, not a curated record. The transcript has 2 exons. Lineage: Eukaryota; Metazoa; Arthropoda; Malacostraca; Decapoda; Varunidae.